RNAcentral lists this ribosomal RNA (545 nucleotides) under uncultured bacterium. RNAcentral's name for it is "bacterial SSU rRNA". It matches the Rfam family "Bacterial small subunit ribosomal RNA", at positions 775 to 1319 of the family's 1533-position model. The record is from RNAcentral.
AGUCAAUAGAUACCCGGGUAGUCCACGCCGUAAACGAUGAAUACUAGGUGUAGGGGUUGUCAUGACCUCUGUGCCGCCGCUAAACGCAUUAAGUAUUCCGCCUGGGGAGUACGGUCGCAAGAUUAAAACUCAAAGGAAUUGACGGGGGCCCGCACAAGCAGCGGAGCAUGUGGUUUAAUUCGAAGCAACGCGAAGAACCUUACCUAGACUCGACAUCUCCUGAAUUACCCUUAAUCGGGGAAGUUCCUUCGGGAACAGGAAGACAGGUGGUGCAUGGUUGUCGUCAGCUCGUGUCGUGAGAUGUUGGGUUAAGUCCCGCAACGAGCGCAACCCUUAUUGUUAGUUGCUACCAUUUAGUUGAGCACUCUAGCGAGACUGCCCGGGUUAACCGGGAGGAAGGUGGGGAUGACGUCAAAUCAUCAUGCCCCUUAUGUCUAGGGCUACACACGUGCUACAAUGGCCGGUACAAAGAGAUGCAAUACCGCAAGGUGGAGCUAAACUAUAAAACCGGUCUCAGUUCGGAUUGCAGGCUGAAACUCGCCUGC